Molecule: ribosomal RNA, 791 nt
Filed under: uncultured euryarchaeote
Lineage: Archaea; Methanobacteriati; Methanobacteriota
Description: bacterial SSU rRNA
Rfam family: Archaeal small subunit ribosomal RNA
Source: RNAcentral
ACGGCUCAGUAACACGUCGGUAACCUGCCCUAUGGUCGAGGAUAACCUCGGGAAACUGAGGAUAAACCGCGAUAGGUCAUCACUUCUGGAAUGGGUAAUCACCCAAACACGUGCCAUAGGAUGGGCCGGCGGCUGAUUAGGCUGUUGGUGGGGUAAUGGCCCACCAAACCUAAGAUCAGUACGGGCCUUGAGAGAGGUAGCCCGGAGAGGGACACUGAGAUACGGGUCCCAGCCCCACGGGGUGCAGCAGGCGCGAAACCUUUACAAUGCACGAAAGUGUGAUAGGGGGAUACUCAGUGCUUACGGCUCUGCUGUAGGCUUUUGUCGAUCGUAAAUAGAUCGGCGAAUAAGUGGUGGGUAAGACCGGUGCCAGCCGCCGCGGCAACCCCGGCGCCACAAGUGGUUAUCACGAUUAUUGGGCCUAAAACGUUCGUAGCCGGUUUGGUACAUCUCUUGUGAAAUUGUUCGGCUUAACCGGACAGCGUGCAGGAGACACGGCCAAACUCGAGACCCGAUGGCGAAGGCAUCUUACGAGAACGGAUCUGACGGUGAGGAACGAAAGCCAGGGGAGCGAACCGGAUUAGAUACCCGAGUAGUCCUGGCCGUAAACGCUGUGAGCUAGGUGCCGCGUAUCUCGCGAAGAUGCGCAGUGUCGAAAUGAAGAUGCUAAGCUCACCGCCUGGGAAGUACGGUCGCAAGACUGAAACUUUAAGGAAUUGGGAGGCGCAUGAAGUAUGCCGUGGGGACUGGUAAAAUGGGAUAAUCCACGGUAGACUACGGCGGGGGAGCAC